AACGAAUGCUGGCGGCAUGCCUAACACAUGCAAGUCGAACGAGACCUUCGGGUCUAGUGGCGCACGGGUGCGUAACGCGUGGGAAUCUGCCCUUGGGCUCGGAAUAACAGUUGGAAACGACUGCUAAUACCGGAUGAUGACGUAAGUCCAAAGAUUUAUCGCCCAGGGAUGAGCCCGCGUAGGAUUAGCUAGUUGGUGGGGUAAAGGCCUACCAAGGCGACGAUCCUUAGCUGGUCUGAGAGGAUGAUCAGCCACACUGGGACUGAGACACGGCCCAGACUCCUACGGGAGGCAGCAGUGGGGAAUAUUGGACAAUGGGCGAAAGCCUGAUCCAGCAAUGCCGCGUGAGUGAUGAAGGCCUUAGGGUUGUAAAGCUCUUUUACCCGGGAUGAUAAUGACAGUACCGGGAGAAUAAGCCCCGGCUAACUCCGUG
RNAcentral lists this ribosomal RNA (433 nucleotides) under uncultured bacterium. Its description in RNAcentral is "partial 16S ribosomal RNA". It matches the Rfam family "Bacterial small subunit ribosomal RNA", at positions 29 to 507 of the family's 1533-position model. The record is from RNAcentral.